GACGAACGCUGGCGGCGUGCUUAACACAUGCAAGUCGAGCGGUAAGGCUCCUUCGGGAGUACACGAGCGGCGAACGGGUGAGUAACACGUGAGUAAUCUGCCCUUCACUUCGGGAUAACCGCCGGAAACGGUGGCUAAUACCGGAUACGACGCACUCUCGCAUGGGAUGUGCGUGGAAAGUCUUCUCGGUGAAGGAUGUGCUCGCGGCCUAUCAGCUUGUUGGUGAGGUAACGGCUCACCAAGGCUUCGACGGGUAGCCGGCCUGAGAGGGUGACCGGCAACACUGGAACUGAGACACGGCCCAGACUCCUACGGGAGGCAGCAGUGGGGAAUAUUGGACAAUGGGCGGAAGCCUGAUCCAGCAACGCCGCGUGAGGGAUGACGGCCUUCGGGUUGUAAACCUCUUUCAGCACAGACGAAGCCGACCCUACGUGUGGGGUGGGUGACGGUAUGUGCAGAAGAAGCACCGGCCAACUACGUGCCAGCCGCCGCCGUAAUAC
RNAcentral lists this ribosomal RNA (500 nucleotides) under uncultured bacterium. RNAcentral's name for it is "bacterial SSU rRNA". It matches the Rfam family "Bacterial small subunit ribosomal RNA", at positions 28 to 526 of the family's 1533-position model. The record is from RNAcentral.